This 317-nucleotide ribosomal RNA is filed under the name Metacrangonyx samanensis. RNAcentral describes it as "12S ribosomal RNA". Lineage: Eukaryota; Metazoa; Arthropoda; Malacostraca; Amphipoda; Metacrangonyctidae. The record is from RNAcentral.
AGAGGGACUUGUCUAUUUAAUUGAUAAACCCUCAUUAAUUUUGUUUUAAGGUUAGUUUUGUAUACCCUCAUUUAAAUAAUUUAAAUAUAAAUAAUUAUUAAAAUUUUUUCUAGAAAAUUAGAUCAAGGGGCAGAUAUACUUUAAGGUAGAUUAGGUACAAUAACACCUUAUACUGUAUUAGGUGAAAGGCUAGUAAAGGGGGGAUUUAAUUGUAAUAUAAAAUUACANAUAUGAAAAUUAAAAUUUUAGUGUACAAAUUGCCCGUCACCCUUUUUGAGAUAAGUCGAAACAAAGUAGAAGGACCCGAAGGUGUUUCU